UGCAACUCGCCUGCAUGAAGUCGGAAUUGCUAGUAAUCGCAGAUCAGCAUGCUGCGGUGAAUACGUUCCCGGGCCUUGUACACACCGCCCGUCACACCAUGGGAGUCGGUAACACCCGAAGUCGGUAGCCUAACCGUAAGGAGGGCGCCGCCGAAGGUGGGAUUGAUGACUGGGGUGAAGUCGUAACAAGGUAGC
This 195-nucleotide ribosomal RNA is filed under the name uncultured bacterium. Its description in RNAcentral is "partial 16S ribosomal RNA". It matches the Rfam family "Bacterial small subunit ribosomal RNA", at positions 1306 to 1500 of the family's 1533-position model. The record is from RNAcentral.